UCACCCGUCAUUGGGGAGUAGCCGCCCUGCAGCACCUGCAGGGGCUUGCGUCAACACACUUGGCCCACCGGCCAUGGCGCAGGCAGCAGCGACCACGUCGCCCGCCUGGCAAGACCGAUGACCGUGCUGCC
This 131-nucleotide small RNA is filed under the name Rhizobacter sp. RNAcentral's name for it is "Manganese sequence". The stretch from base 1 to 103 matches the Rfam family "Manganese Mn2+ riboswitch aptamer (yybP-ykoY)". From Rfam's summary of the family: This RNA was originally discovered in E. coli during a large scale screen and was named SraF. The family was later found to exist upstream of related families of protein genes in many bacteria, including the the yybP and ykoK genes in B. subtilis. The record is from RNAcentral. Lineage: Bacteria; Pseudomonadati; Pseudomonadota; Betaproteobacteria; Burkholderiales; Sphaerotilaceae.